UACGUAGGGUGCGAGCGUUGUCCGGAAUUAUUGGGCGUAAAGAGCUCGUAGGCGGUUUGUUGCGUCUAUCGUGAAAACCUGCGGCUUAACUGUGGGCUUGCGGUGGAUACGGGCAGACUUGAGUUCGGGAGAGGGAUGCGGAAUUCCAGGUGUAGCGGUGAAAUGCGUAGAUAUCUGGAGGAACACCGAUAGCGAAGGCAGCUCGCUGGGACGGUACUGACGCUAAGGCGCGAAAGCGUGGGGAGCGAACAGG
This 253-nucleotide ribosomal RNA is filed under the name uncultured bacterium. Its description in RNAcentral is "partial 16S ribosomal RNA". It matches the Rfam family "Bacterial small subunit ribosomal RNA", at positions 524 to 776 of the family's 1533-position model. The record is from RNAcentral.